Molecule: non-coding RNA, 72 nt
Organism: Bos taurus (domestic cattle)
Lineage: Eukaryota; Metazoa; Chordata; Mammalia; Artiodactyla; Bovidae
Source: Rfam
UCCCUGCUGGCUCAGAUGGUAAAGAAUCUGCCUGCAAUGCAGAUGACCCUGGUUUGAUCCCUGGGCUGGGAA